RNAcentral lists this ribosomal RNA (496 nucleotides) under uncultured bacterium. RNAcentral describes it as "SSU rRNA". It matches the Rfam family "Bacterial small subunit ribosomal RNA", at positions 26 to 518 of the family's 1533-position model. The record is from RNAcentral.
AGAGCGAACGCUGGCGGCGUGCUUAACACAUGCAAGUCGAACGCGCAGCAUUCUGUAGCAAUACAGGGUGUGGGCGCGUGGCGAACGGGUGCGUAACACGUGGAUAACCUUCCUUCGGGUGGGGAAUAACCCAGUGAAAAUUGGGCUAAUACCGCAUAACAUCGCGAUGGCACAUGCCGUUGCGUUCAAAGGCGCAAGUCGCCAGAAGAGGGAUCCGCGGCCGAUUAGCUUGUUGGCGGGGUAACGGCCCACCAAGGCUUUGAUCGGUAGCCGGACUGAGAGGUUGGCCGGCCACACUGGAACUGAGACACGGUCCAGACUCCUACGGGAGGCAGCAGCGGGGAAUCUUGCACAAUGGACGAAAGUCUGAUGCAGCAACGCCGCGUGGGGAUGAAGCUUCUCGGAGUGUAAACCCCUUUCGACCCGGACGAAUGCCCGCAAGGGUUUGACGGUACGGGUAUAAGGAAGCCCCGGCUAACUACGUGCCAGCAGCCGC